AACCACCUGGGGAGUACGAUCGCAAGGUUGAAACUCAAAGGAAUUGACGGGGGCCCGCACAAGCGGAGGAACAUGUGGUUUAAUUCGAUGAUACGCGAGGAACCUUACCUGGGCUUAAAUGUAGAGUGUAUGAGGUGGAAACACUUCUUCCCUUCGGGGCUCUUUACAAGGUGCUGCAUGGUUGUCGUCAGCUCGUGCCGUGAGGUGUCGGGUUAAGUCCCAUAACGAGCGCAACCCUUACCGUUAGUUGCCAUCAGGUAAUGCUGGGGACUCUAGCGGGACUGCCACCGUAAGGUGAGAGGAAGGUGGGGAUGACGUCAAAUCAGCACGGCCCUUAUGUCCAGGGCUACACACGUGUUACAAUGGCCGGUACAAAGGGCAGCUACACUGCGAAGUGAUGCUAAUCCCAAAAGCCGGUCCCAGUUCGGAUUGGAGUCUGCAACCCGACUCCAUGAAGUUGGAUUCGCUAGUAAUCGCGCAUCAGCCAUGGCGCGGUGAAUACGUUCCCGGGCCUUGUACACACCGCCCGUCAAACCAUGGGAGCUGGGGGUGCCUGAAGUCUGUGACCGA
This 570-nucleotide ribosomal RNA is filed under the name uncultured Bacteroidota bacterium. Its description in RNAcentral is "bacterial SSU rRNA". It matches the Rfam family "Bacterial small subunit ribosomal RNA", at positions 867 to 1437 of the family's 1533-position model. The record is from RNAcentral. Lineage: Bacteria; Pseudomonadati; Bacteroidota.